Acinonyx jubatus (cheetah) is the source of this 13744-nucleotide long non-coding RNA. RefSeq lists it as uncharacterized. The transcript is spliced from 5 exons. The record is from RefSeq and is a predicted model, not a curated record. Lineage: Eukaryota; Metazoa; Chordata; Mammalia; Carnivora; Felidae.
AGUGACUCAGAAAUACGUAAUGGGGAGAACGAAGGGCCCAGAAAUAAUAACUGAAAUUUAAACAGAGGUGAGGAGGGAGGAACAGAGAAAAUUCCAUACAAACAGAUCAGAAAAGUCAGGGUUUUUCAGUCUGGAAGCAUAAAGGCAGAUGGGAUUGAAAACAGAAAACAAAGUUAAAAAUGGCGGAGGUUCUGUGUACAUCCAGACUUGCUCAGCAUGGCCUCGUGAGUCUUCCUCCUUGCCUACAAUUCCUUCCUCUCCGCACCCCCUGCAGGACAUUUGGGUUGAAUAACCAUGAAGUGAACAGCCUGAGGUGGGUCAGGGGCCUCGACUUGGGAAUGUGAAAAUGGGGAUUAAUCCUGAAUGGCACACCACCGAGGCUGCUGAAGAGCUGUGACAAACGUGAAUGCCUCCCUCAUGUGCUCAUUUGAAUCUUGCUUAUUCAGGUACUGCUUUGGACCAAGGACUAGUUUAUAAUUUGCCUGGGUAGAUCAGCCUUGUACCUAAACAACAGCAAGACCACCUGUGAUUUGUCCUGAGUUACGGGCGACCGAGUGCUUACACAGAAUGGCACCAGAAAGUGCUCUGGCAGCAAGAACCGGUCAGACUUCCUGAGGGAGGCGCUGUUCGCACUGGCCUUGGUGGAAGAGAGAGUGAGCAGGGGAGAGGAAGAGAGAGACUCUUAAGCAGGCCCCACGCUCAGCCCAGAGCCCGACGUGGGGCUUGAUCCCACGACCCUGAGAUCAUGACUUGAGCUGAAAUCAAGAGUUGGACACUCAACCACCUGAGCCACCCUAGUGCCCCGAGAAAUGAAGUAUUUUGAUUCGGGUCACACGGCCAGUAUGUCUCAGUGAUGACAUUCAAAUCUGUUUUUUUGGAUGUGAAUGCUGAAGAGAGAAGAAACCAUGAACAGAACUGAGGACUCAUAUGGCGGAAGGAGCUGGUCUUGCCUGAUGGUGAAACUGAGGCCCAGGAGAGUGAAAUAACUUGCCCUCAGCUCACACAGUGGGUGAUGGUCAGAAUUGGAAGCCAGGCCUGCUUGAUGCCAAAAUCUGAACACCUGCCGUGAGUCACAUUUCCGGAGGGGAGGUACACAGCUAGUGGCUUUCUAGGAACCAUCUCAGCAGAAAGAAGUCCCUCACUGCUCUGAGCCCUGUGGUUCUGUAGUCACUGGCAUGACGUGAGGACCCCACAGCAGCAGAGGGCUGCAGACUGAGAAGCUUUACUGUGGACUGUGCCCGAGAUCGUAAAUCCUCCUCAGUCCAGCACGAGGCUUAGGCCGGUUCUCGUGAAGAAAGCUUUACUGGAACUCAGCCACGCCCAUUCACGUACACAUCUUCCAUGGCUGCUUUCGCACUGUGAUGACAGAGUUGAGUAGUUGCAACAGAAACCCAAUGGCUGGCAAAACCUAACAUGUUCCUUACCUAGCCCUUUCUAGAAAAAAGUUUGCUCUCUCCUGGCCCAGAAUUAUAAGAGAUCGUGUUUUUAUUUACGUAAAAUGGAACAUAUUAUGAUUUGGGAGGCCGGGAAUAUCCAGGAUGUUUGGGACAGGAUCUGAGCUUCUCGUUACAGGGAAGGCAAAGGCUUAACGGCAGCUUGGAGGACAGUGUCGAUGAGGAUUCUGAGGCGGUGUCUGGAUGGGUCUGGGCACUUCCAGAGAGGUGAGAGCUGGGCUACGAGUCAUGUAGGCGAGGAGCACCAGAUGAGGAAAUGAGCAAGGCAAAUAAAUCCAUGCCCUUCUUUCCCAAAGGUGAAAGCACUUGGCACUGCUGAGUUUGGCACUGUAAACAUACCCUCACUGGAGUGAGAAAGGUGACACUGAACUACCAUUCAAGCUUGACAGAGGCAGACAACAGGCAGAAAAGGCUAAGGUUGGGCUAGAGCUCCUGCUUCAGUUAAGGCUUCUAUGUACUCAUGGGAGGCUAGCAAUGAAACAGUGUUCGUCCAGGGUGGCAUUUCCUAUAAAGCUUCCCAUUUGGAGAAGACGGGGGCAUUUAUUAAUCUGUGCAAUCGCAAUGCCGCUUAAAAAAUGUUACAAAUUAUUUAAGGACGAAAAGAUCAGGGUGUGUGACAAUGCACGUUUAUUGGAGAAAGUGGUAUAAAAUGUGGCUCCUGUCAUUUAUAUAGAGACGUAUAUACGUAGCCCUUGGACUGUGGGUUUUAAAGUUGAAGAAUCUUAACACUACCUACUCCAAUGAGCAAUUCUUCAGUGAUCCAAAUCAAUCCGGGUAGUGGAGUGGUCCUCUGCAGACUCUCCUUGUUGCGGUGAAGGUGUCACUGAAAGGUGGAUGCCAGUCUGGUUUUGGGAACUCAAAUCACAGAGUCUGUCACUCAGGAUAAAUCCUUCUAAAAUAUAUUAGCUACCUUCGCAUAAAUCCAGAUUUCCCGAUGUCGCACGGCAUCCAAGUGAGACGCUACCGUAGUCUGAUAUAUGUUUACUGUUUUAUCAAGCUGAGGUUUUUCACUAUUAAGCACUCCCUGGAAAUUCUCAGGGCCACUGGUCCCUGGUAAUGCAAAUAUGUACGCAGAAUCCAGUAAGCUGUACGUUACGUUAUUGUGCACUAAUCUCUCCUACAGGUCACUUAGUAUCUUUCCCACAUUCAACGUUUUGGCUUUAAUUGUUUUUCCUUCACAGCAUGAAAAAUUGCCAAAUCAGCUCCGGCUGACUAGGUUUUCUUUUCAUUUCAAAUAAUUAUAGGAAGCAUUUAAAUUGUAUUAAGUGCACUAGACCGUAUCUCAAAGGGAACGGAGGAUUCAAAAAAUUUUUACAACAGAAGCUUGAGAAUUAUUUGCAUAAAAACGCUGGUAUUUUUCCACCGAGUGUCUAGAAACCUGCCCCCUCUCAGGUAAGCAUGGGCCGUGCGGCCAACGUGUGAUGAGCCGGAUCCCAGACAGACGGGGGAGCGGGGCUGAGAAUGCGGGCGGGGUUCGGGCCCAGCGGGGCCAGCAGGACCUGAGCCAGUGUGUCUGAAAAACAAGGGCAGAGGGUGUUCAGAUGUAGAAUUCCUCCAUGGCAUUGUCCACAGGUCCGGGCAACGCUGGCGGCGGUGGGGCAUCCCCGCCGGUCUGCUCGGCGCUGGGAGCAGCACAGGGAGGCUCCGGCGCGGACUCUGUGAGCGAGGAGGGGCCGGAAGCAGUGGGAGCAGCAGCAGCUGUCGCGGAGGAGCUGGCGGGCCCUUUGGUGAAGAAAGGGAGGGAAGCCCAGGAGGUGUCUGUGGUCACCCCGCCCCCAGCGGGCAGUGGUCCGUCUCUGGAACCCCUGGGCUUGGACCAGUGGCCGCCGCAUCUUGCAGAGGGGAGGGCUGCUUCCCCGGUGCCGCAGAACCUACUGGGUGCGGAAUACGCAGAGACCACAGAGAGGUCCGAGGAGGACAGGCGGAGGCCCGUGUCCACGUCCGUCUCCUGGGCCCCCUCCAAGUCAUCGAUGGAGAGGAGGCAGCCAUGCCUCCACUCCGAUGCCCUGUGCCCCGCGUCACCUGUGUUUGAGAACCACUGUGGUAGGGCCGAGGAGCCGGGGGAGGGGUCUCCCGUGGGCAAACAAAACAAGGACUUGCUUCUCUGGAAAGACCAGGGGAGGCUGGGAGGGCCGCUGGCUCGUUGGGGCCCAGGAGGCAGGCCCGCGGGGCCGGGACCCAGGUGUGACCCUUCCGGCAGGGGCUGCUGGCUGCCGCCAGGUGUGCUGCUCGGGGCCGGGGCCGCGGUGCUCGGCGGAGGCGCGGGAUGAGGUCUCUGCUCAGACGGGGGCUGAGUUCUGCCGGGUUUCGGACACUUCCUGUGCACCCUUUGCGCCUGUAGGGGGAAGAGGGCGCAUCAGGUUAGCGGUGGACGGGACUGUCACGAGACACACUUCCUGGUCACUGGAAACUUCCAGCAGGGUCAAGGCCAUCAAACAAAACCAGGAAUUUCCUUCUCCGAACUCUAACGCGAAGACAGAGGCGGCAGAGCUCUGGGGAGUGUGGCUCACACUUCUCAGCCUGAGGAGCCCUCUCUGAACCUGCGAGGAGAUGCAGGCCCUCGCCUUGCAGGGAGUAACUGCUCGCUCAGCGGAUUAGCCACAAGAAUGAGGGUUGGGCUGCGCACGGAGGAGGGAGAUAAGAAUUACCAGCAAAGGAGGAAGGACUGCGAUGAGACUCAGUCUUUGACCACAUGAAACUUACAUUUCAUUGAAAGGAUAGGAGACAAAAAAGAAAUUGGUCAGACAAGAACGAGACUGUGAUGACGGGCACAACAAUAGGGCUAUGAGGGCGAGACCAUGCCUGCCCGGUAGAAGCAGAGGAGUCUUCAGGGGAGGUGGCCCUCAAGGUGAGCCUUUGAGAUGGGCAGCUGUUCUCCUGGUGGAUGGCAUGAGUGGAGAGGAGGCUGUUCUGGAGAGAGGCCAACUCAAACAGAGGCUGACUGUUGGCAGGUAAGCAAGGAACUUGCAGGGGGCACUGAGUAGUUUGCCUUGAUUACAGUGCAGGUGCAUGAAAAGCAGUGAUGGAAGAUAAGUUGCAAAUGGAGUCUAGUGCCAUAGUGGUCAAGGAGACCUUGACUAACUGGGUAAGAAAUCUACAUACUUCUCUUUAUGUUGAAGUCUUAAUUGUUGGAGUUUUUUUGACCAACAAAUAUAUGAAUAUAUGACCAUUCCUUUCAUCGAUUUCUAAGAUCUUUGCCUAAUUGCAGAUAUUGCAAUCUUUUUUUAAAGUUUUAAAAUUUAUUUUGAGAGAGAGCAUGCGCAUGUGGGGGAGGGGCACAGAGGGAGACAAAGAAUCCCAAACAGGAUCUGCGCUGAUGUGGGGCUUGAUACCACGGCCAUGAGAUCGUGACCUGAGCCCAAAUCAAGAGUUAGAUGCUUAAUGGCUGAGUCGCCCAGGGGCCCUGAUAUCUCUUAAUCUUAUAAACAGACUCCUUGACUCAUUCUUUCAAUCAACAUCAACGAGGGUCUUUUAUGCAGGGCUUCCUCACUGGUGUGUUUACGCUUUGAAUGGGUUAUCAAAGGCGAGCUGAGAUCUGGAUCUCUUUCACCAGCAGCCUGUUGCACUAUAUACAUAUUAUUAUUAUCAUUUUCUAUGUGCUCUUUGGUGUGAGAAAUGUCUGGAGGGCCAGGCCAGAUAAUUUUGCGUAAGACAUGGUCUUAGCAAACAAUUACCAAUACAAUGUUCAAGUAUAAUAAAGUGAGCUCUGAUGAUAAAGUGAAUGGCAAUAUACAAGCCAUGUUAAGGCACAAAGGAGGGAGAGGUUGAAUAGGGGUGAGGCAGCAUGGGGAAAGGUAGAGAAAGCUUGCCUUGGUAAGUCACACUUGGAUGCAAUCUUAGAAGUGGAAGAAGUGUUUGCCACGUGGAGGGCAAUAGGUGAAGCAUAGAAGCACACUCAGGCACAAAAGCAGCCUGAUCAGAGGCUGGAGGCAGGAACCAAAGCCAAGAGGUGAGCUCUGAGAGGCAAGAGGAGUCUUGUCGUGGUGGGCCCCAAAUCAUGUGUACGUAUAAGGCACCUGCAUUUCAAAACCCAAAGGCUUGAAAGCAAGAUGGUGGCAUGGCCAAAUCUGUGGCAGCAGGGUAAAGGAGAAAGGACUGGAUGGGGGGGCAAGACUGGUGGCAGAAAGAGCAUUUGGGAGAGACUGCUGUAGUCUUUCACUUUUGAAGAUUCAUUUCAAGUAAGCUGUAUUUUCAGUUGCUCGCAUGAGUUUCUUAAACAUCAGUUCAGAUAUUCAGGAUUUUGUAUGGCUUUGCUGUCCACCCUUCCUGAUCCUCUCCUUAAUUCUCAGUCUCUACAUUCUGUAGCGUGGAUGUGUACCCUUGUCCUGCUGCUUCUAGUCCUGCCCUCCAGGCUCUGGAGAGCAUCCUGAAAUUCCCAAAUCAUUCUGCCAAGGGUGGCUUAAGGAGCUAAAGGUGAAAGCGGCAACUGAGAUCUCGGACGGUCUGAAAUUAUUGACGCUUGAAGAACGUGACGCAGAGUGCUUUUAGCGCAGGUGGUAAGUGGGUUCGGUGUCAGUCUUCUAAAGAUAGCGCUCCACAAGGCCGUCCUCACCAUGACACUUCAGUUUGCAACAGCCCCAGCUUUUAUGUGCACGAGGGACCUUGCUGAACAUGGCAAGAAGACUUGGAGCCGAGCUGGUUCCUGCUGGAGGCAUGAUCCACUCAGUAGGGCUUGCUGCUCCGUGCUCCGGCAUCUCCCGGACUCCCACCCAGCCCUUCUGACUCUGGAAGGGUAAGCAUGAAGAGUCCCACCUUUGGGAUGGGGACAGGAGCAGCCUCUGAAGGCACAGCUGUGCCCAAGAGGUAUCACAGCGAGGUGGCUGUCGGGGAGGCAAACUGAUCUUCUUACUCGCUGGAGUUUGGCCAAACAAGAGAAGAUAAAUCAUGAAGCUCUUUACAGAAGGAAGUCCUCGGGGAUGGAGGAUGCUUUGGGAGGGGAGAGGCAAUGUUUAUUAAUUAAAAUGUCUAUCAGGGCCAAUUCCCCGGGGUGCCCCAGGGUAUUUUCUUAUUUGGGAAUCUUCUUACACAUUACCCUAUCACUUCCAUCUUUGGAGACUUAUUCGAGGAGCAUGCUCUUGGCGAGCAUGUUUGCAUUCUCAAUCUGCUUGAAAAAGGGAGCCUCUGAAUAUUACUUCCUGAGAAGCCAAAGGCCAAGGUUCCCAAGAAAGAAAGUGCUAGGAGACAUCUCAAUCUUUCCGCUCUCAGGGACAGAGUGGUGUUAACUUUGACUUAAAACCAGGAACAACUGGCAGAGGAGGAACACUUGAUGGCAGGUAUUGUCAUCGCUGUGCUUGUUUAACAAACCUACCUGUGCUCUCUUAUUUUUACUCCCUUAUGAAGGCAGGAAUUCAGAUAAACCCUAAAUUAUGCUGCUUUGAAGAGAGGAGGAGGCACCUGGUGUUUGUCACCAGAGGGGGGCCCAGGUGCGCCGUGGAAGUGCCAGCUGGGCAGGUGGGGCUCCAACUGGACCGGUGUUGGCUGGUGGUAAUGACAGGGUCUGGGGGCAGGGAGCUGCAGGAGGGUGGCUGCGAGCCUCCACACCCCAGCUCUCGGGCUGAGCACACGUGGGAUGUGUUUGCAGCACAUCUGGUAUUCCCCAGCUCUGUACAGAAGAAGCAGGGUCUUGUCUGUCUGAAAGACAAGUAGCGUAGACCAAACACGGAGCUGCUUUCUUGUGUCCUCCUGGCUGCGGUAGCUGUUUCCGGCCUCUCUCGUCUGCUCGUCUAACUUGACCAGGAACACUAGAGGCUGAGAAUGAAUGGUUGGAGAUGUUUCAGGAAAGCCCUCCCCAGGUGAUCUUUCCAGAGUUGAAACAAUACCCUAUGUGCCCUCCUUUCCUUGGAAGCCUCUCUCUGCCUUCUGUGACAGCAGCAAUGUACCUCGGGGUCACCUUCCUUUCUCUUUGAAGCAGUGCAGGCUAGCUGACUCACUGGAAGCCAGUGGUUCCCCCCUUUGCUAUUUAUGGAACGGAAUGGCAUUAGAUAAAUGAGUCUGCUUAAGGCAGCUAGCCAGGAGAUCUGAUUAUGUCUCUGAAAUCAUCAAAAACCUGAAAUUGCAGUAAUCAACCCAGAAGCUUCUCAUGCAACUUUGAGCAUAGACAGUUUGCAGUUAGGGAGGUAGAGGAGUCUGAGCCGAAGCAUCUUUUUCAAUGAUCUGGGUGUCAGUAGGUUCAUUCCCUGGCACAUGGGUAGACUCCCCAGUGAAGGGGAUUCUGCCCCUGACCCAGUGACCCUGGGCAGUGUCAUACCGGAGUUCACGUUCAUCCUCACACUUCCUCUUUCUGAGAAAGGUCAUUUCUUGUUGUGUCCUUGGCAUGAACACAAGGACUGUGGCAUUCUCUGCUAUGUAAUGAGCCAGCAAUAGAGCUUUUAACCCAGGGACUAAUAAAAAAAAAAAAAAUAGGGGCAAUUCAAGGAAAUUGGGCAAUGGGUUCACAUGAGAAAUCAGAUUUUUGUUCUAAAGAAAAACACAUCUUCCUUCUCCUUUCACUGUCCUUUGGGAAGUUUCCAUAUAACCACUAAGAGGGAUACCCACAGGCAAAGCCUAUGUUGUUUGUGAAAUUCUUUAAAAAUUUUUGAAUAAAAUUAUUUUACCAAAACAAUUCUUAUUGAAAUAUAGUUGAUAUAUAACAUCAGUUCCAGGUGUACAACAUAAUUUUUCGAUGUUUAUGUAUAUUGUGAAAUAAGCCUAGUUAAUCCAUCACCGCAGAUAGACUGUUUUUUCCUGUAAUGAGAACUUUUAAUUUGCUCUCUUAGCAACUUUGAGUGUACAGCCCAGUGUUGUUAACUACAGUCAUCAAGCUGUGUUACAUCCCCAGGGCUUAUUUGAUAAUUUUACAAACGUUUACAUCUUUUGAACAGCUUCGCUCCCCAUCUCCCAAUUGUGACAAUCACCAGUCAGUUCCUUGUAUCUAUGAUUUUUUUUUUAAUCCACAUAUAAGAUCAUAUGGUACCUCUCCUUCUCUGACUUAUCCUGCUUAGCAUACUGCCUUAGCAUAGAUAGACCCUAUGUUGUCAUAACUGGUGGAAUUUCCUUCUUUUUCUAUGGCUAAAAAAAAUAGUUUUCUUUACACAUUCAUCUGCUGGUGGGCACAGAGGUGGCUUUCGUACCUUGGCUAUUUUAAAUAAUGCUGCAGUGUACGUGGGAGGGUGCGCGCAAAUAUCUUUUUGCGUUACUGUUUUCAUUUUCUUUGGAUGAGCGCUUACGAGUUCAACUGCUGGAUCACAUGGUAGUUCUAUUUUUAGUUUUUGAGGAAUCUCCAUGAAGUUUUCCACAGCGGCUGCAACAAUUUACAUUCCACAGCCUUUACUCCUCAUCCUUGAGAACACGUUGUUUCUUGUCUGUUUGGUAAUAGCCGUUCUGAUUGGGGUGAGGUGGUAGAUAGCGUUUGUGGUUUAGAUUUGCAUGUCCCUGAUGAUUAGCGACGUUGAGCACCGUAUUAUGUACCUGCUGGCCAUCUGAAAGCCCCCUAUAGAAAAAUCUCCAUUCAGCAUCUCUGCCCAUUUUUUAAUAAGAUUUUUUGUUUAUUUGCUACUGAGUCACGUGAAUUCUUUAUCUGGAUAUCAACCCCUUGCCAGAUACAUAUUUGCACAUAUUUUCUUCCACUCAGUAGGUUGCCUUUUCAUUUUGUUGACGGUUGCUUUUACUCUGCUGUGCAGAGGCCUUCCAGCGUGCAGCCUCACUGUUUAUUUUUGCUUCUGCUGCCUUUCCUUUUGGUGUCAAAUCCAAAAAAUCAUCACCAAGACCAAUGUCAAGCAGCUUACCACCUGUUUUCUUCUAGGGAUCUUAUUUCAGUUCUUAAGUUCAAGCAUUUAAUCCAUUUCGAGUUUGUUUGUGUGUGUGGUAUAAAACAGUGGUCCAGUUUCAUUCUUCUGCAUGUGGCUGGCUGUCCAAUUUUCCCAGUCCCAGUUGCUGAAGAAACUGUCCUUUCUGCAUUGUAUAUUCUUGGCUCCACUGUUGUAAAUUAACCAAUCACAUAAGUGUGAGUUUAUUUCUGGGCUCCUUAUUCUGUUCCAUGACUCUUUGUGUCUGUUUUCAUGCCAAUACCAUACUGUUUUUAUUGUUAUAGCUUUGUAAUAUAGUUUGGAAUCAGGAAGUGUGAAGUCCCUAGAUUUGUUGUUUUCUUAUGAUUGCUUUGGCUAUUCAGGAUCCUCUGUGGUUCCACACACAUUUUAGGAUUAUUUGUUCUAGGUGUACGAAAAAUACCAUUGAGAUUUUGAUAAGGAUUGCACUGAAUACGUAGAUUGCUUUAGGCUGUAUGGACAUUUUUUUUUUUUUUUUUUUGGCAAUACUGAUCAUUUCCUUCCAAACCAUGAGCAUGAAAUACCUUUCCAUAAUCUGUGUCUUCUUCAAUUUCAUCAAUGUCUUUGGUUUUCAAUGUAUAGGUCUCUCAACUUGGUUAAAUUCAUUUUCUGUACUUUAUUCUUCUGAUGAAAUUAUAAAUGGUAUUGUCUUAAUUUCUCUUUCUGAUAGUUCAUUAGUGUAUAGAAAUGCCACAAAUUUGUAUAUAUUGAUAUUGUAUCCUGAAGUAUUACUGAAUUCAUUAGUUUUAACAGGGCUUUUGUUUUUUUGUUUUUGUGUUUUUUAGUAUAGGCUUAAGGGUUUUCUAUUUAUAGUAUAUCAUCCGUCAAUAGUGACGGUUUUACUUUUUUCUUUGCAAUUUGGGUGCCUUUUAUUUCUCUGUCUUUGUUAACUGAUGUAAGACUUGCAAUAUUAUACUGAAUAAAUGUGGGGAGAGUGGGAAUCUUUUGUUUCUGGCCUUAGAAGAAAAGUUUUCAGCGUUUUACCACUAUGUAUGAUGUUAGCAGUGGGCUUAACUGUUAUAUAUAUACACCUUUAUGAUGUUAAGGUGUGUUUCUUCUAUACCCAACCCCAGUUUUUUUUUUUUUUUGUAAAUGUGGAAUUCUGUCAAAUGCUUUUUCUGCGUCUAUUGUAAUGACCAUACAAUUUUUAUCUUUCAUUUUGUUAAUGUGGUAUAUAACACUGAUAUGCAGAUUUUGAACUAUCCUUGCAUCCCUGGAAUAAAUCCCCCCUUGAUCAUGGUGUAUAAUCCUUUUAAUGUAUUGUUCAAUACAGUCUGCUAAUAUUAUUUUGUUGAGGAUUUUUCCAUGUAUGUUGAUAAGGGACAAUGAUUUGUAAUUUUCUUGUGGCAUCUUUGUCUGGUUUUGGUAUCAAGGCAAUGCUGGCCUCGUAAAAUGAGUUUGGAAUGUUCCCUUCUCUCCUAUUUUUUGGACGAGUUUGAGAAGGAUUGCUAUUUCUUCUUUAAAUGUUUGGUAGAAUUCACCAGUGAAGACAUCUGGUCCUGGACUUCUAUUGGGAAGUUUUUGAUUAUUCAUUCAGUCUCCUUAUUAGUAAUUGGUUUGUUCAGAUUAUCUAUUUCUUCAUGAUUUAGUCUUGGUAGAUUUUAUGUUUCUGACAAUUUAUCCAUUCUUUCUUUUCUUAAAAUUAAAAAAAAAUGUUUAUUUUUGAUAGAGUGUGCAGGGGAGGGAUGGAGAGAGAGGGAGACACAGGAUCUGAAGCAGACUCUGUGCUGACAGCAGAGAGAAAGCCCAGUGCUGGGCUCAAAGUUAUGAACUGUGAGGUCAUGACCUGAGCCAAAGUUCAAUGCUUAACUGAGCCACCCAGGUGCCCUGGCAUAUAAUUUCUCAUAGUAGUCUCCUAUGAUCCUUUUUUUCCUGUGGUACUCAGUUUAACAUCUCUUUCAUUUCUGAUUUUUUUUUUUUUGAAGGAUGUCCUUGGUUUUUUUUGUUAUGAGUUGAACUAAUGGUUUGUCAGUUCUGUUUUAGCUUUUCUUAGGUUCAUUGAUCUUUUUAUUAUCUCCUUUCUACUAAAUCUGGGUUUUCUUUUUUCUUUUUCUAAUUUCUUGAGGUGUAAAGUUAGGUUGUUUAUUUGAGCUCAUUGUGAUCUCUUGAUGUAGGCAUUUAUCUCUAUGAACUUCUGUCACAGAAAUGCUUUAGCUGUGUCGCACAUUUUAGCAUGUGGAAUUUCCAUUUUAAUUUGUCUCAUUGACAAAUGAGACACUAUAAAAUCAUUAUAAAAUAACCUUUGUCUCUUACUACAGUCUUUCUUAAAGUCUAUUUUGUCUGCUAGAAGUAUAGCUUACCCCUGCUUUCUUUCCAUUUCUAUUUGUAUGGAAAAUCUUUAUCCCUUUACUUUCUGUCCGGAAGCAUCUGGUAGGUAGUAUAUAGAUACAUCUUGCAUAGAGAUAUGUUUUUUAAAAUCCAUUCAGCCAUUCUGUCUUUGAGGGGAGAAUUUAGUCCAUUCACACUUGCUUAUUUAUUUGCUUAUUUAUUUAUUUUGAUAGAGACAGAGAGCAAGGAGGGGAGGGGCAGAGAUAGAGGGAGACAAAGAAUCCCAAGCAGGUUCCAUACUGUCAGCAUGGAGACCAAUGCAGGGCUUGAACUCAUGAACCCCAUGAGAUCAUGACCUGAGCUGAAAUCAAGAGUCAGAUACUUAACCAACUGAAUCACCCAAGUUCCCCCAUUUACAUUUAAGGCCAUUAUGGCCAGGUAUGUACUUAUUGCCAUUUUGUUAAAACUGUUUUCUGUUUUAUAAUCCCUUUCUUUUCUUGAUCUCUUCCUUUAUGACUUAAUGAUUUUCUGCAGUGGUGUGUUUAGAUUCCUUUAUCUUGUGUGUAUAUACUACAGGCUUUUGCUUUGGGGUACCAUGAGGCUUACAAAAAAACAACUUAUAUACUGUAGUUUAUUUUAAUGUAAAACAACUUAAGUUUGAACACAUCCUAAAGCUCUAAAUAUUUAUGCUCCACCCCAACAUUUUUGUUUUGAUGCCAUAAUUUAUAUCAUUUUAUCCUGUAUAUCCAAUAACAAAUUACUGUAGUUAUAGUUAUUCCUACAACUUUUGUCUUUUAACCUCCAUACUAGCAUCAUAAAUGAUGAACCCAUCACCUUUACAAAAUUAGAUUUUUCUGAAUUUUACAUAUAUUUACUUUCAGCAGUGAGAUUUAUACUUUUUUGUUUUCCUGUUACUCAUUAACAUCCUUUUGUUUCAACUAAAAGUAGUCCCCUCAACAUUUCUUGUAAGACUGCUUUAGUGGUAAUGAACUCUAGCUUUUGAUUGUGUGAAAAACUUUCUCUUCUUCAACUGAAGGACAGCUUCACCCAGUAUUCUUGGUUGCCAGUUUUUUUCUUUUCCUCUCAGCACUUUGAGUGUAUCAUUCCACACACUUCUGGCCUGCAAAGUUGCUGCUGAAAAAUCCAGUGAUGGUCUUACAGGGGUUCCCUUGUAUGUAAGAAGUUGUUUUUCUGCUUUUAAGAUUCUCUUCUUGUCUUUAACUUUCAACACUUUAAUUAUAAUGUGUCUUACAUGGGUCUCUUUGGGUUCAUCUUCUUUGAAACUCUCUGGACUUCUUGGAUAUGGAUGUCUGUUUCCUUCCCCAGAUCAGGAAUGUUUUCAUCCAUUAUUUUGUCAGAUUUUCUGCUCCUUUUUCACUUCUCCAUCUGGGGACCCUUAUAAUAUGAAUGUUAGUUAGCUUCAUAGUGUCCCAUAAGUUCCUUAAGCUAUCUUCACUCUUGUUCUUAUUUUUUUCUGUUUGCUGGUCUAAUUGGAGGAAUUCCAAAGCCCUGUGUUGAAGUUUACUGAUCCUUUCUUCUGCUUCAUCUAGUCUGUUGUUGAACCCAUCCAGUGCAUUUUUCAGUUCAAUAAUUAUUCUUCAGCUCUAUGACUUCUUAUGUGGUACUUUCUUAUAUUUUCUUUUUGUUGAACUUCUCCCUUUGUUCAUUCAUUUUCUCCUGAGCUCAGUGAGCAUCUUCAUCAGGUAAAUAACUUAUUUCUGUUUCAUUAAGGUCUUUUUCUGAGAUUUCAUCUUGUUAUUUCGUUUGGGACAUGUUCUUUUGUUCAUUUUCUUUGAUUUUCUGUGUUGGUUGUGUUAGAGAAAAGAGCCACACUUCCCAGUCUGAAGGACUGGGAUCAUGUACAAGAUGAAACUAUUAUUCAUCCUUGCUCUAGCUCUUUAUCUCAAAAACUUUGUGUUUGUCCAAGCAGCCCAUUUUAUUCCUAAUUGCUCCAAACAAUUGAGGGCGCUCUAAGACCUGUGAGUAUCCCAGAGGGAGGAUCUUGGUCAGCACCUAGAUCCAGGCUGAUGGAAAGCAAGAACCUCAAGCAGCACAUUUGAAAGUAUGCAAAUAUACCUCUUUCAGCAGAAGACUGGGUGACAGGCAUUAUUGUCUGCUCCCUCUGCACUGAGCUCUGGGAUGACAGCCAGUUAAGAACCAUUUCUUUGUUUGCUACCAUCCCACUGAAUCUGGGAACACAAGCCCUGCCGGACACCAGAG